Molecule: ribosomal RNA, 253 nt
Filed under: uncultured bacterium
Lineage: Bacteria
Description: partial 16S ribosomal RNA
Rfam family: Bacterial small subunit ribosomal RNA
Source: RNAcentral
UACAGAGGGGGCAAGCGUUAUUCGGAAUUAUUGGGCGUAAAGGGCGCGUAGGCGGCCUGGCAAGUGGAAGGUGAAAUCCCUCGGCUUAACCGAGGAACUGCCCUCCAAACUGCUUGGCUUGAGUCCGGGAGAGGUGAGUGGAAUUCCCAGUGUAGCGGUGAAAUGCGUAGAUAUUGGGAGGAACACCAGUGGCGAAGGCGGCUCACUGGACCGGAACUGGCGCUGAGGCGCGAAAGCGUGGGGAGCAAACGGG